AAGAGAAGAGUAGAUAUAAAAUGUAGUUCUAGCGAGUUGAGGAUGGUGAAAGCUCAAUACGAGGUUUAUAUUGAAGAACAUCUUGGAGUUUCUAAUCGAAAGCUUAUUUAGUAAGUAGACUUAGACGGAAGGCACCGUUAUAGGCUUUAAGCAUUGCUUAACUAAGAGGUCAUUAUGACAACUAGGGUGGUACCGCGAGAGUAAUAGUCUUUCGUCCCUUUAUAUAGGGAUGAAGGGCUUUUUUUAUUGAA
RNAcentral lists this non-coding RNA (251 nucleotides) under Clostridioides difficile. The stretch from base 1 to 222 matches the Rfam family "T-box leader". Rfam says of the family: Uncharged tRNA acts as the effector for transcription antitermination of genes in the T-box leader family. T-boxes are found upstream of many aminoacyl-tRNA synthetase genes and some amino acid biosynthetic genes usually in Gram-positive bacteria. The anticodon of a specific tRNA base pairs to a specifier sequence within the T-box motif, and the NCCA acceptor tail of the tRNA base pairs to a conserved bulge in the T-box antiterminator hairpin. Lineage: Bacteria; Bacillati; Bacillota; Clostridia; Peptostreptococcales; Peptostreptococcaceae. The record is from RNAcentral. RNAcentral also lists the same sequence under 1 other name.